GAUCUUGGUCAGGACGAACGCUGGCGGCGUGCUUAACACAUGCAAGUCGAGCGAUGAAGCUUCUCGGAAGUGGAUAGCGGCGGACGGGUGAGUAACACGUGGGCAACCUGCCUCAUAGAGGGGAAUAGCCUUCCGAAAGGAAGAUUAAUACCGCAUAAGAUUGUAAUAUCGCAUGAUAUAGCAAUUAAAGGAGUAAUCCGCUAUGAGAUGGACCCGCGUCGCAUUAGCUAGUUGGUGAGGUAACGGCUCACCAAGGCGACGAUGCGUAGCCGACCUGAGAGGGUGAUCGGCCACAUUGGGACUGAGACACGGCCCAGACUCCUACGGGAGGCAGCAGUGGGGAAUAUUGCACAAUGGGGGAAACCCUGAUGCAGCCAACGCCGCGUGAGUGAUGACGGUCUUCGGAUUGUAAAGCUCUGUCUUCAGGGACGAUAAUGACGGUACCUGAGGAGGAAGCCACGGCUAACUACGUGCCAGCCGCAGC
Molecule: ribosomal RNA, 484 nt
Filed under: uncultured bacterium
Lineage: Bacteria
Description: bacterial SSU rRNA
Rfam family: Bacterial small subunit ribosomal RNA
Source: RNAcentral